GGAAGAGGGGCUGGCUCUCAGUCACCACAGCAUGGGGGGCCUUUCUGUUCUGGUUUUGCCCAAGAGUAAGCUUAUUUGCAUCUGGUUCUAGCAGGGCAGUUGCUGCCAAGGCCCUCAAACAUGGGGGCCAUCCUUUCGAAUCUCUGUCUAGCUGUUUAGAGAGGUAGGCCACCGGCCUCAGCCAAGGCCCCACAGUUUGGGUUUAAAGUCCAGCUGCCAUCUUUUCUCUGAUGCAUACAAUGGAAAAGGCUUUGUGAGAUCAGGUAGCCCCUGGGCUGGGGCUUUCAGAAGUUUUUCCUUUAAGUCAUGAAAGACUUGCUGUUGUUGGAAUCCCCAUUCCAAAUGUUCCCGGUCCCCGUCCCCUUUGUCACGUCAUAGAAAGGCGUGGCUAAUACUGCAAAGUUUGGGCUCCGCAGUCUACAAAACCCCACAGCUCCUAGGAAUUCUCUCACCAGCCUUCUGCCCUUAGGCUCCAGUAGAUUGCAAAUGACCUGCUUUCUUUGGGAUCCCGGGCUGCUUUCGGACACCUGUCGAAUAGUAAAUCCCAAGUAAGGUACCUGCGGUCGUCGGCAGAUCUGAGUUUUCUUCUUGGACACCUAAUACCCACAGCCCUCCAGAGACCGUGAGGUUGAUGUCACUCCCAAUAUCGGAGGAAGUAUGCACCCCCGUGUGAGAUGGUCCUUAAUAAUAUUCCACGGCGGAGGGGGUGAUAUGACUACAUACAUGGCAGAAAGUGGAAACCCCCCAGGGAUAUUAUUCCCACGAUCCUGGAGGGAAGAAGAUGAUGUUACUUUCUAUAUGACAGAAGGUGGAUGAAGUGGUGGACUGCCCCUCCACACCUGUGGACACGCCCCCACUGAUAUUCCUUCUAAUUGCAACGUGGGAGAGGAGGAUAUGACAGGCGAUAUCGCAGGGAGUAGAAACACCCCUGUGAUACUGUUCUUCAUAUUCAGGGAUGAAGAGGAUGAUAUUACUCCCAAUACAGAUGGGUGUACACCCUCUGUACACCGAGGGUGUACACCCGUCUGUGAAAGAGUUCGUAAUCUCCAGAGGGGGAGAUGAUAUUACUCACAAUAUGGUAAAGAGGCUGUGAGUCCACGGAGGAUCCUCAGAGCCAGUGGGGGAAGAGGGGCUGGCUCUCAGUCCCCACCUCAGGGGGGUGACUACCCCCACUGCGAUGGGGGUCCUAAGAGCCAGCGGGGGAGGAGGAGCUGGCUCUCAGUCUCCGCCUCGCGAGGUGCCUCCCCACCUUGUGGUCGGGGUCCUAAGAGCCAGGGGGGAAGAGGGGCUGGCUCUCUUUGUGGAUGAUUCUUUUUCCAUUCUCAUGCACUUUUCUUUUUUCUUUCUUUUUUUUUUUUGAGACUGAGUCUUGCUCUGUUGCCCAUGCUUUGCUGGAUCUCGGGUGACUGCAACCACUGCCUCCCAGGUUCAAGAGAUUCUCCUGCCUCAGCCUCCUGAGUAGCUGGGACUAGAGGCGUGUGUCACCACACCCAGCUAAUUUUUGUAUUUUUAGUAGAGAUGGGGUUUCACCAUGUUUGCCAGGAUGGUCUCUAUCUCCUGACCUUGUGAUCCACCCACCUCAGCCUCCCAAAGUGCUGGGAUUGCAGGUGCGAGCCACUGGGUCCAGCCUCUCAGGCGAUUUUCAUACCUGCAUACUCUGAUCACUACUCUGUUAAACAGUCAAGGAAGCUGAGUGCCACGUGCUGACAUCACUAAGAUCAAUACAGCAAACUCUGAAAGAUGGACAGAGAGACAGGAGAUGGUCCUUUAUAAUGCAGUGUGAUCUGUGCUGCAAUAGAGAUGGAAGAGUGUUCUGAUCGGCUGGAAAACAACGCACAUGGGAAGCUGUACAGAAAUGAGUGGGGAAAGUUUUGGAAGCUAGAAGUUCAAAACGAGGUGUUGGCAGCACCAUGCUCUCUCUGAAGAUGCUAGGAAGAAUCUGCUCCAUGCCUUUCCAUUCGCUUCUGGGGUUUCCUGCAAGCCCUGACAUUCCUUGGCUUGUAGAUGCAUCACCCCAGUUUCCGCCCCCAUCAUCACAUGGCCUCCUCUCUGCGUGUGCCUCUGCAUUCCCUCUAUUCUUCUUCUAAGGACACCGACACCAGUCAUAGUGGAUUAAGGGUCCACUCCUAACUAAUUACAUCUGCAACAACCCUAUUUCCAAAUAAAGUCACAUUCUAAGA
This is a long non-coding RNA of Gorilla gorilla gorilla (western lowland gorilla), 2180 nucleotides long. RefSeq lists it as uncharacterized. The transcript has 6 exons. NCBI's taxonomy places the organism in Eukaryota, Metazoa, Chordata, Mammalia, Primates, Hominidae. The record is from RefSeq and is a predicted model, not a curated record.